Molecule: ribosomal RNA, 407 nt
Filed under: uncultured bacterium
Lineage: Bacteria
Description: partial 16S ribosomal RNA
Rfam family: Bacterial small subunit ribosomal RNA
Source: RNAcentral
AUUGAACGCUGGCGGCAGGCCUAACACAUGCAAGUCGAGCGGAGCGGCGGACGGGUGAGUAAUGUAUGGGGAUCUGCCUGGUAGUGGGGGAUAACGUCCGGAAACGGGCGCUAAUACCGCAUACUAUCAGAUGAGCCUAGGUCGGAUUAGCUAGUUGGUGGGGUAAAGGCCCACCAAGGCGACGAUCCGUACCUGGUCUGAGAGGAUGAUCAGGAACACGGGAACUGAGAGACUGCCCAGACUCCUACGGGAGGCAGCAGUGGGGGAUAUUGCGCAAUGGGCGAAAGCCUGAUGCAGCGACGCCGGGUGGGGGAUGAAGGCUUUCGGGUUGUAAACCUCUUUCGCUAUCGAACGGGUAGGUGGAGAAGAAGCGCCGGCUAACUACGUGCCAGCAGCCGCGGUAAUUC